Molecule: ribosomal RNA, 497 nt
Filed under: uncultured bacterium
Lineage: Bacteria
Description: partial 16S ribosomal RNA
Rfam family: Bacterial small subunit ribosomal RNA
Source: RNAcentral
GAUGAACGCUGGCGGCGUGCCUAAUACAUGCAAGUCGAGCGAACGGACGAGAAGCUUGCUUCUCUGAUGUUAGCGGCGGACGGGUGAGUAACACGUGGAUAACCUACCUAUAAGACUGGGAUAACUUCGGGAAACCGGAGCUAAUACCGGAUAAUAUUUUGAACCGCAUGGUUCAAAAGUGAAAGACGGUCUUGCUGUCACUUAUAGAUGGAUCCGCGCUGCAUUAGCUAGUUGGUAAGGUAACGGCUUACCAAGGCAACGAUGCAUAGCCGACCUGAGAGGGUGAUCGGCCACACUGGAACUGAGACACGGUCCAGACUCCUAAGGGAGGCAGCAGUAGGGAAUCUUCCGCAAUGGGCGAAAGCAUGACGGAGCAACGCCGCGUGAGUGAUGAAGGUCUUCGGAUCGUAAAACUCUGUUAUGAGGGAAGAACAUAUGUGUAAGUAACUGUGCACAUAGUGACGGUACCUAAUCAGAAAGCCACGGCUAACUACGUG